Molecule: ribosomal RNA, 801 nt
Filed under: uncultured Pelagibacteraceae bacterium
Lineage: Bacteria; Pseudomonadati; Pseudomonadota; Alphaproteobacteria; Candidatus Pelagibacterales; Candidatus Pelagibacteraceae
Description: bacterial SSU rRNA
Rfam family: Bacterial small subunit ribosomal RNA
Source: RNAcentral
CGGCACGCCUUAUACAUGCAAGUCGAACGAAGUAGCAAUACUUAGUGGCAGACGGGUGAGUAACAUGUAGGUAUCUUCCCUUUGGUGAGGAAUAACACGAGGAAACUUGUGCUAAUACCUCAUAAGUCUUUACGGAGAAAGCUUUAUGCGCCGAAGGAUGAGCCUGCACUUGAUUAGUUUGUUGGUGGGGUAAUGGCCUACCAAGACUUUGAUCUAUAGCUGAUCUGAGAGGAUGAUCAGCCACAUUGGGACUGAGACACGGCCCAAACUCCUACGGGAGGCAGCAGUAGGGAAUAUUGCACAAUGGAGGAAACUCUGAUGCAGCGAUGCCGCGUGAGUGAAGAAGGCCUUUGGGUUGUAAAGCUCUUUCGUCGGGGAAGAAAAUGACUGUACCCGAAUAAGAAGGUCCGGCUAACUUCGUGCCAGCAGCCGCGGUAAUACGAAGGGACCUAGCGUAGUUCGGAAUUACUGGGCUUAAAGAGUUCGUAGGUGGUUAAAAAAGUUGGUGGUGAAAUCCCAGAGCUUAACUCUGGAACUGCCAUCAAAACUUUUUAGCUAGAGUAUGAUAGAGGGAAGCAGAAUUUCUAGUGUAGAGGUGAAAUUCGUAGAUAUUAGAAAGAAUACCAAUUGCGAAGGCAGCUUUCUGGAUCAUUACUGACGCUGAGGAACGAAAGCAUGGGUAGCGAAGAGGAUUAGAUACCCUCGUAGUCCAUGCCGUAAACGAUGUGUGUUAGACGUUGGAAAUUUAUUUUCAGUGUCGCAGCGAAAGCAUUAAACACACCGCCUGGGGAGUACGACCGC